Molecule: non-coding RNA, 108 nt
Organism: Vitis vinifera (wine grape)
Lineage: Eukaryota; Viridiplantae; Streptophyta; Magnoliopsida; Vitales; Vitaceae
Source: Rfam
CGGAGCCGUAUGACGCGAGAGUGUCACGUACGGUUCCUUUGAGAAGGGUGUGAUACCACCACCUAUCAGGCCCGACGAGCGGUCCACGGAGCUGCAUCCUUACUCACC